Long non-coding RNA from Suricata suricatta (meerkat), 659 nucleotides. RefSeq lists it as uncharacterized. Lineage: Eukaryota; Metazoa; Chordata; Mammalia; Carnivora; Herpestidae. The record is from RefSeq and is a predicted model, not a curated record. The transcript is spliced from 3 exons.
UCCCCGCUCGCGGCUCGAACCUAGCGCCGGACCCUGCGCUCGGCCCCUGACUCCACGACUAGCCUGGAGGCUACCAGUCCCGCGCCCCGCCUCGCACCCCCACGCCUGACCCGGCGCGCAACUCUCUUGCGGAGGGCAGCCUGGCGCCACGCCCCGGGGCCGUCGGAAGGGCCUACAGGUUGGGGUGUCUGCUGGGCUCGCUGCGGCUCCCCCAAAACGGUCCCCCGUGCGCCAGACAGCGGGCAGGAGGCACAAGGCGGGAGACACCCGAGCCGCAGCCUAGAGUGCUGCUGACCGGCGGCGCACCUGACAACCUUGCUUCUCUCUGGCCACUCACCACCUCCUCCUCACUGGGGUCCAGGUGGAUUUAAUCUUUACCGUGAUGCCAUUUUUCACCUUCAGAACUUUUUGCCACCUGGAAAGGCUGAGAAUAAGUUUUGAUUUUCCAACGUAGCGAGAACUUGCUUGGACACACGUCAUCUACCUGCUGCCAGAACAGGGAGCAGCUACUUCUUUGCCUCCCUCAGCCAAGCACUCACUGCCAGUGUCCACCUGCUGCCUGCUCCAAAGUCAGUGUCAGAUUUUAGAAUUUCACUGCAGCAGGAUCUCACUCCUAAGUGCCAACUUCUGUCCCGGGCAUCUACGGCUGCAUCACAAAC